GUUAGGAAUUUUGGGCAAUGGCCGCAAGGCUGACCCAGCAACGCCGCGUGGGGGACGAAGGCUCUCGGGUUGUAAACCCCUUUUGGCGGGGACGAUGAUGACGGUACCCGCCGAAGAAGCCCCGGCUAACUACGUGCCAGCAGCCGCGGUAAUACGUAGGGGGCGAGCGUUGUCCGGAUUCAUUGGGCGUAAAGCGCGGGCAGGCGGCCCGCUCAGUCGGCCGUGAAAGCGCCGGGCUCAACUCGGCGAGGUCGGGCGAUACUGGCGGGCUGGAGGCUGGUAGAGGGCGGUGGAAUUCCGGGUGUAGUGGUGGAAUGCGUAGAGCUCCGGAGGAACACCAGUGGCGAAGGCGGCCGCCUGGGCCAGUCCUGACGCUGAGCCGCGAAAGCGUGGGGAGCGAUCCGGAUUAGAAACCCUAGUAGUCC
This 425-nucleotide ribosomal RNA is filed under the name uncultured bacterium. Its description in RNAcentral is "bacterial SSU rRNA". It matches the Rfam family "Bacterial small subunit ribosomal RNA", at positions 354 to 796 of the family's 1533-position model. The record is from RNAcentral.